This 19-nucleotide unclassified non-coding RNA is filed under the name Mus musculus (house mouse). RNAcentral describes it as "oocyte_clustered_small_RNA9257". Lineage: Eukaryota; Metazoa; Chordata; Mammalia; Rodentia; Muridae. The record is from RNAcentral.
AGAACUGGAACUGUGUAGC